UGGAGGGUGUGACCUGUGGUCUCGCUCCUCCCUCCUGACUGCAGGUGUUGGUGUGGGUGUCACAUCUAAAGGUGCUGUUAAUGUGAGAGUCCUGUGCUCUGCAGCUCACUGUCAGGUUACACCAGACUGAGCUGCUGGACACAGAGUCCACUGACAGAAUAACUGGAGACACUGGAUCUGAGGGGGGAGGCAGGUGGAGAGGUUUUAGAAA
Molecule: long non-coding RNA, 211 nt
Organism: Etheostoma spectabile (orangethroat darter)
Lineage: Eukaryota; Metazoa; Chordata; Actinopteri; Perciformes; Percidae
Exons: 3
Source: RefSeq, a predicted model, not a curated record